Molecule: long non-coding RNA, 1136 nt
Filed under: Fragaria vesca (wild strawberry)
Lineage: Eukaryota; Viridiplantae; Streptophyta; Magnoliopsida; Rosales; Rosaceae
Description: long non-coding RNA (FVES_LNC002243)
Source: RNAcentral
UAGCCGACGAAGUAUAGUAAAUUUCGUCGGUUAUAGUUAUUUUUUAAAUUUUUUAUAAGGUUUAGCCGACGAAGUAUAGUAAAUUUCGUCGGCUAUAGUUAUUUUUUUUAAUUUUUUUAUAAGGUUUAGCCGACAAAGUAUAGUAAAUUUCGUCGGCUAUAGUUAUUUUUUUAUAAGGUUUAGCCGACGAAAUAUAGUAUAUUUCGUCGGCUAUAGUUAUUUUUAAUUAUUUAUUACACACUUUAGCCGACGAAUAUCUUAAUUGUUUCGUCGGCUAAAGUCUGGGAAAAAAACCGACGACAUGUUUUUCGUCGGCUAACUGUGGGACUAUAGCCGACGAAAAAAAAAUUUCAUCGGCUAAAGUCAUCACCGACGACCUUUUCCCGACGACACUAUAACCGAUGAGCAUUCGUCGGCUAAGAUCUUAGCCGACGAAUUAAGAUAACAGGCCGACGAAAAAUUUUCGUCGGCUAAAGUACUUGUCCUGGUAGUGCUUGGAAAGAACCACAACAAUAACAAGAUCACUAGAAAACAGUAAGAGAUGGAAAAACAGAAGAAAGAACUCUAUCGUUCUUGCUCUAAUACCAUGUAGAAAAAGAUGAAGAGAAAAAGAAAACUCUUGUAUUGAAAACAUUUAGGUUACAACCAAGUAUAUAUAUACAAGCCUAGCCAUAUCUAGCCAUACCAGCCAUACUCAUGAGUCAUGACUACUGACUUCCUUACACAGUAAGGUGGAUGACUUACUGUGUAAGGUAUGGUGCAGUCAACAUGCUACACCAUACUUUACUGUAGAGUAGGUAGGGUGAUGAGCACUACACCAUACUUUCUCUAUUGACUAUAUAUUUCUAUAUAUUUCAAUAGGCCAACAACUUUUGCUUAAUUUGAUCGACAUAAGUGUUAAGAUUGGCACCUAAAUUAUCUGUAAAUUCAUUCAAGAAAUAAAACAUGCGUAAUGAACAUAGUACAUUCAAUCAUUUAUGAGCAGGAUACUUGAAGAUAAAAGUAAAUAUAGCAUCGAUCGCAUGAAACUCAAGGUUUUCUCCACCAACUUAGCCAACUCUUUCACAUAAUGUGGCUUCUUUUCUACAGUUUUACAUGAAGAAAACAAUACAAUAUCAAAGAUUAUCAAAGGUUCC